GAAACGACUGCUAAGACUGGAUAGGAGAUAAGAAGGCAUCUUUUUAUUUUUAAAAGACCUAGCAAUAGGUAUGCUUAGGGAAGAGCUUGCGUCACAUUAGUUAGUUGGUGGGGUAAUGGCCUACCAAGACGAUGAUGUGUAGCCGGGCUGAGAGGUCGAACGGCCACAUUGGGACUGAGACACGGCCCAAACUCCUACGGGAGGCAGCAGUAAGGAAUUUUCGGCAAUGGAGGAAACUCUGACCGAGCAAUGCCGCGUGAACGAUGAAGUAUUUCGGUACGUAAAGUUCCUUUAUUAGGGAAGAAAAGAUGGUGGAAAAACCAUUAUGACGGUACCUAAUGAAUAAGCCCCGGCUAACUAUGUGCCAGCAGCCGCGGUAAUACAUAGGGGGCAAGCGUUAUCCGGAAUUAUUGGGCGUAAAGGGUGCGUAGGCGGUUAAAUAAGUUUAUGGUCUAAGUGCAACGCUCAACGUUGUGAUGCUAUAAAAACUGUUUAGCUAGAGUUGGAUAGAGGCAAGUGGAAUUCCGUGUGUAGUGGUAAAAUGCGUAAAUAUACGGAGGAACACCAGAAGCGAAGGCGGCUUGCUGGGUCUUAACUGACGCUGAGGCACGAAAGCGUGGGGAGCAAACAGGAUUAGAUACCCUGGUAGUCCACGCCCUAAACGAUGAGUACUAAACGUUGGAUAAAACCAGUGUUGAAGUUAACACAUUAAGUACUCCGCCUGAGUAGUACGUACGCAAGUAUGAAACUUAAAGGAAUUGACGGGACUCCGCACAAGCGGUGGAUCAUGUUGUUUAAUUCGAAGGUACCCGAAAAACCUCACCAGGUCUUGACAUGCUUUUGCAAAGCUGUAGAAAUACAGUGGAGGUUAUCAGAAGCACAGGUGGUGCAUGGUUGUCGUCAGCUCGUGUCGUGAGAUGUUGGGUUAAGUCCCGCAACGAGCGCAACCCUUGUUGUUAAUUGCCAUCAUUAAGUUGGGGACUUUAGCAAGACUGCCAAUGAUAAAUUGGAGGAAGGUGGGGACGACGUCAAAUCAUCAUGCCCCUUAUGACCUGGGCUACAAACGUGAUACAAUGGCUGUUACAAAGGGUAGCUAAAGCGUAAGCUUCUGGCGAAUCUCAAAAAAGCAGUCUCAGUUCGGAUUGAAGUCUGCAACUCGACUUCAUGAAGUUGGAAUCGCUAGUAAUCGCGAAUCAGCAUGUCGCGGUGAAUACGUUCGCGGGGUUUGUACACACCGCCCGUCA
Molecule: ribosomal RNA, 1244 nt
Filed under: Phytoplasma sp. BN-Ma182
Lineage: Bacteria; Bacillati; Mycoplasmatota; Mollicutes; Acholeplasmatales; Acholeplasmataceae
Description: bacterial SSU rRNA
Rfam family: Bacterial small subunit ribosomal RNA
Source: RNAcentral